UACGAAGGGGGCUAGCGUUGUUCGGAAUUACUGGGCGUAAAGGGCGCGUAGGCGGUUUGACAAGUCAGGCGUGAAAGUCCCGGGCUCAACCUGGGGAUUGCGUUUGAUACUGUUGGACUUGAAUGUGAGAGAGGAUGGCGGAAUUUCCAGUGUAGAGGUGAAAUUCGUAGAUAUUGGAAAGAACACCGGUGGCGAAGGCGGCCAUCUGGCUCACAAUUGACGCUGAGGCGCGAAAGCGUGGGGAGCAAACAGG
Molecule: ribosomal RNA, 253 nt
Filed under: uncultured bacterium
Lineage: Bacteria
Description: partial 16S ribosomal RNA
Rfam family: Bacterial small subunit ribosomal RNA
Source: RNAcentral